UACGUAGGGGGCGAGCGUUGUCCGGAUUUAUUGGGCGUAAAGAGCGUGUAGGCGGCCAGGUAGGUCUGCUGUGAAAACUCGAGGCUCAACCUCGAGACGUCGGCGGAAACCAUCUGGCUAGAGUCCGGAAGAGGAGAGUGGAAUUCCUGGUGUAGCGGUGAAAUGCGCAGAUAUCAGGAAGAACACCCGUGGCGAAGGCGGCUCUCUGGUACGUGACUGACGCUGAGACGCGAAAGCGUGGGGAGCGAACAGG
Molecule: ribosomal RNA, 253 nt
Filed under: uncultured bacterium
Lineage: Bacteria
Description: partial 16S ribosomal RNA
Rfam family: Bacterial small subunit ribosomal RNA
Source: RNAcentral